RNAcentral lists this ribosomal RNA (116 nucleotides) under uncultured Vibrionales bacterium HF0010_22E23. The record is from RNAcentral. Lineage: Bacteria; Pseudomonadati; Pseudomonadota; Gammaproteobacteria; Vibrionales.
CUUGGCGACCAUAGCGUUGUGGACCCACCUGACUCCAUGCCGAACUCAGCAGUGAAACGCAACAGCGCCGAUGGUAGUGUGGGGCUUCCCCAUGUGAGAGUAGGACAUCGCCAGGC